UACGGAGGGUGCAAACGUUGCUCGGAAUCAUUGGGCGUAAAGCGCACGUAGGCGGCCGCGUCAGUCGAGUGUGAAAGCCCGGGGCUUAACCCCGGAAGUGCGCUCGAAACUGCGAGGCUUGAGUACGGGAGAGGGUGGCGGAAUUCCCGGUGUAGAGGUGAAAUUCGUAGAUAUCGGGAGGAACACCAGUGGCGGAGGUGGCCACCUGGAUCGAUACUGACGCUGAGGUGCGAAAGCGUGGGUAGCAAACAGG
RNAcentral lists this ribosomal RNA (253 nucleotides) under uncultured bacterium. Its description in RNAcentral is "partial 16S ribosomal RNA". It matches the Rfam family "Bacterial small subunit ribosomal RNA", at positions 524 to 776 of the family's 1533-position model. The record is from RNAcentral.